RNAcentral lists this ribosomal RNA (468 nucleotides) under uncultured bacterium. RNAcentral's name for it is "partial 16S ribosomal RNA". It matches the Rfam family "Bacterial small subunit ribosomal RNA", at positions 28 to 507 of the family's 1533-position model. The record is from RNAcentral.
GACGAACGCUGGCGGCGUGCUUAGCACAUGCAAGUCGAACGGAAAGGCCCUGCUUUUGUGGGGUGCUCGAGUGGCGAACGGGUGAGUAACACGUGAGUAACCUGCCCUUGACUUUGGGAUAACUUCAGGAAACUGGGGCUAAUACCGGAUAGGAGCUCCUGCUGCAUGGUGGGGGUUGGAAAGUUUCGGCGGUUGGGGAUGGGCUCGCGGCUUAUCAGCUUGUUGGUGGGGUAGUGGCUUACCAAGGCUUUGACGGGUAGCCGGCCUGAGAGGGUGACCGGCCACAUUGGGACUGAGAUACGGCCCAGACUCCUACGGGAGGCAGCAGUGGGGAAUAUUGCACAAUGGGCGGAAGCCUGAUGCAGCAACGCCGCGUGCGGGAUGACGGCCUUCGGGUUGUAAACCGCUUUCGCCUGUGACGAAGCGUGAGCGACGGUAAUGGGUAAAGAAGCACCGGCUAACUACGUG